Long non-coding RNA from Parus major (Great Tit), 1280 nucleotides. RefSeq lists it as uncharacterized. The record is from RefSeq and is a predicted model, not a curated record. Lineage: Eukaryota; Metazoa; Chordata; Aves; Passeriformes; Paridae. The transcript has 4 exons.
GUCACCGGCUCCUGCUGCGCUGCCCUUUUUCCUUAUUCAGGCCUUUGUUGUAUUUUGUUAAGGCUUUUACUAAACCUUUUAAAAUUUUUAAAAGUGAGCAUCUCUCACACCUUCCAUGCUGAUCCAGUUGAGUGGGUGUUACUGGUUUAGAGGCACUUUACCUUUCUAACCUGUUUCUCUUUAAAUUUCUAAAUUUUAAAGUGUUGGUUGAAAAGCAAGGUACUACGUUAGAAAUUGGAGUAUUAAUUUCAUUAUACUUGAGUUGGAUUAAAGCUGGGUAUUUAGUCUCUGCCAGCUGUCUUCAGCCACCUGUUUUUCUGUGAAUAUCCCAUGGUUAAAUUGGUUCUCAGGAAAAUGAAAUGAGCUGUCCCUGCAACCAGGCUUUGAUGGAAACAAAAUAAGACUUAAACAUACCUGAGGGACAAAAUAGGGGAGAAGAAAUGUCCUGGCAGACCAACAUGCUUUUGCAGUACCUACUGCAGCUGAAUUGCUGUGAGGGGAAGCUCAGGCAGUCAGCAGGACCUGAAGGCACUGAGAGAGCCCAGGCAGCAGAGAUACAGGAGAGAAGCAGAUACAAAAACACUGGCAGAGCUGAAAGAGGAAGAUGGACCUCACCUGCAGAAAAGUGGCCGCACCAAAAAUACACUGAAUUACAUAGACCUGAGAUCCAAAGUCUAGAACAUCCAGUUACGACUCUUCUAGGAAGACUGAAAUGCUGGUUCAAAGUCAGUCUUAUUAUUCUGGAGCAAAAUGGAAACAGUGGAGACCAAUGGUCAGCCAACAGUGACUCCUCUACAGGGACAAUUAAAUAUAUGCUGAAUAUAUGAGCUGAAUGAUGGCCUCACUUCUUAGGUGAUGAUUGCUUAAUCUCAUCCUUAGGUGAGGAACUUUCAUGCUGUUCACAAACAUCUGAAUCCCUUCCUGCAGUAGAAUCCAUUUACCAUUGUGCAAAUAUUCUGUAUUAAUUCUAGACCACACACAGAUCUGAGUGGCAUCAGAGUAAGACUGCAGUAACCCCAAUUAAUUUUAGGAGGCUUUUUCUAGGUUUAUCCUACUCAGAUAAAAAUGUGUGUAUUUAUCUUUGAAUUGCAUGGCACAGACUAUUGUAAUGAGGUGCAUUGAGCUCUAUUCUCAGCAUAAAUUAAUUUGGGGUAGUCAAAUGAAAAAUGUUGCACACCAGAUUGGUGAGCUAGAUGGUCCUUUAUCACUACAGUUAAGGAAAAUAUGAAUGUUAAUGAAUCUAUUUUGUUCUAUCACAACUUCUGAAAAUAAAAGAAAAU